RNAcentral lists this long non-coding RNA (267 nucleotides) under Panax ginseng (ginseng). RNAcentral describes it as "long non-coding RNA (PGIN_LNC011085)". Lineage: Eukaryota; Viridiplantae; Streptophyta; Magnoliopsida; Apiales; Araliaceae. The record is from RNAcentral.
AGAAAUAGAAAAGGAAAGAAGAAAUAGAAAGUGACUCAUUUUGGAUUUUCUAGAGAGAGAAAGUGACUCAUUAUUUUUGUUUUGAGGUGCUAAUCGGUACAAAAUGAGAUAAAAUGGGUAUCAAAUCGAUUAAUCAGUUUUGUAUAUCGGUCCAAUUGAGAUUAAUAUUCAUAAUAUAUUCAGUAAUCUGUUCGGUCCGAUUUUUCACUGAUGAACAAGCCUAUGAAAGAAAGAAAGAAAAGAUGGAAGUAACAAGUACGGUUCGGG